UACUUGUCAAUUUGAUCUUUCUAAGUAAAUUAAGCUGUUAUCCCUAAAGUAACUUAUUUCUAUUUUAGAACUUCUAGGUAUUAAAACGAGAAAGUUUCCUAAAUUAAAGAAAGCUUUAUUUCUCCACCGCCCCAGUGAAAUACUUUAUCCUUCUUCUAAGAAAAUAAAAUAUAAAGUUUUAUAGGGUCUUCUUGUCUAAAAGUUUUAUUUUAGCCUUCUUACUAAAAAGUAAAAUUCAUUUUCUUAUCUGAAAAAAGAUUCUCCUGGUUUACUCUUUCAUACCAGUCUCAAAUUAAAAGACUAA
This 304-nucleotide ribosomal RNA is filed under the name Androctonus aeneas. Its description in RNAcentral is "partial 16S ribosomal RNA". Lineage: Eukaryota; Metazoa; Arthropoda; Arachnida; Scorpiones; Buthidae. The record is from RNAcentral.